Molecule: ribosomal RNA, 393 nt
Filed under: uncultured bacterium
Lineage: Bacteria
Description: partial 16S ribosomal RNA
Rfam family: Bacterial small subunit ribosomal RNA
Source: RNAcentral
AUACGGAGGAUGCAAGCGUUAUCCGGAUUUAUUGGGCUUAAAGGGUGCGUAGGCGGGACUGUAAGUCGGGGGUGAAAUACUGCAGCUUAACUGUAGCAUUGCCUUUGAAACUGCCGUUCUUGAGUACAGUUGAGGUAGGCGGAAUGUGGUGUGUAGCGGUGAAAUGCAUAGAUAUACCACAGAACGCCGAUUGCGAAGGCAGCUUACUAAGCUGUUACUGACGCUGAGGCACGAAAGCGUGGGGAUCAAACAGGAUUAGAUACCCUGGUAGUCCACGCUGUAAACGAUGAUUACUGGUUGUUAGCGAUAUAUAGCUAGUGACUGAGCGAAAGCAUUAAGUAAUCCACCUGGGGAGUACGUCGGCAACGAUGAAACUCAAAUGAAUUGGCGGGG